CCGGCGACCGGCGGACGGGUGCGUAACGCGUAUGUAACCUACCUUUGACAGGGGGAUAACAUCGAGAAAUUGGUACUAAUACCCCAUAACAUCACCGGAGGCAUCUUCGGUGGUUGAAAACUCAGGUGGUCAGAGAUGGACAUGCGUUGUAUUAGCUAGUUGGAGAGGUAACGGCUCACCAAGGCGACGAUACAUAGGGGGACUGAGAGGUCAACCCCCCACAUUGGUACUGAGACACGGACCAAACUCCUACGGGAGGCAGCAG
Molecule: ribosomal RNA, 265 nt
Filed under: uncultured bacterium
Lineage: Bacteria
Description: partial 16S ribosomal RNA
Rfam family: Bacterial small subunit ribosomal RNA
Source: RNAcentral